Molecule: ribosomal RNA, 775 nt
Filed under: uncultured Neocallimastigales
Lineage: Eukaryota; Fungi; Neocallimastigomycota; Neocallimastigomycetes; Neocallimastigales
Description: partial large subunit ribosomal RNA
Rfam family: Eukaryotic large subunit ribosomal RNA
Source: RNAcentral
UAUCUCGUAGAGUCUGCAUAUCAAUAAGCGGAGGAAAAGAAACUAACAAGGAUUCCCUUAGUAACGGCGAGUGAAGCGGGAAGAGCUCAAAUUUGAAAUCUUCAAGGUUCUACCUUGACGAAUUGUAGUUUAAAGAAGUGUUUUCUGUUAGAUGAGUAGCAAAAGUUCCUUGGAAUGGGACAUCAUAGAGGGUGAGAAUCCCGUAUUUGGUUAUUCAUUCUAGCUUUGUGAUACACUUUCAAAGAGUCGGAUUGUUUGGGAAUGCAGUCCAAAAUGGGUGGUAAAUUUCAUCUAAAGCUAAAUAUUGGCGAGAGACCGAUAGCGAACAAGUACCGUGAGGGAAAGAUGAAAAGAACUUUGAAAAGAGAGUUAAACAGUACGUGAAAUUGUCAAAAGGGAAGCGUUUGACACCAGUGUUGUUUUUCCGAAAAUCAAUUACGAAUGGCUUGAUUUUGUGUUGUAUUGACCUUAUCAGCUUUCUUCACUUUUUUUCGAGUCUUUCUUAAUGCACUUUUGGGUUAACAAGUCAACAUCAAUUUCUUUUGUUGUAAAAGAGUAUUCGGAAGGUGGCUUUCUUUUCGGAGAAAGUGUUUAUAGCCCUAUACUUCUACAAUCGGAGAGAUUGAGGUCUGCAGCGUAGAUCCUUCGGGGUUAGAUACACUUUGUGCUAAGUUGUAGCUUUUCAUAGACAACUUGUUGACUAUGUUUAGUCAUGCGGCUUACUCGCUUGUGCUAUUUUACCUACGCUUAGGAUGUUGACGAGACUGUCGAUCUC